CUCCUGGUCCUGUGACCUGCAAGAUAGAAAGCAACAUAUGCCCCCAGGUGGCCUCCCUCACCCUGGCAAUGGAAAUGAACAGCCGAGCUUCACCGGACAGGACUAGAAAUCGUUCCUCCACCCACCCAGAGACAAAGCGUAUUUGACUUCUUCCUCUACUGGGGCCCUUGCAAGAUUCCAGCUGGUAUGAGCCUUCUGCAGAGCUAGUGCAGACUAGGAUGGCUGUAUCACUAACAGCAGCUGAAACUCUGGCCCUUCAGGGUACACAGGGACAAGAGAAGAUGAUGAUGAUGGGACCAAAGGAAGAGGAACAGUCUUGUCCCAGGCCCUGCACAUGGACCUGCACAGGAAGAGCCAUGGGAGAAGAAGGAGUCUCUGGGAGCAGCCCAGGAAGCACUGAGCAUCCAGCUCCAGCCUAAGGAGACCCAGCCUUUCCCAAAGAGUGAACAGGUAUAUUUACAUUUUCUGUCAGUUGUUACAGAAGAUGGCCCAGAGCCCAAGGACAAAGGAUCAUUGCCACAACCACCCAUUACUGAAGUGGAAUCACAGGUGUUCUCAGAAAAACUUGCUACUG
Molecule: small RNA, 574 nt
Filed under: Pan troglodytes (chimpanzee)
Lineage: Eukaryota; Metazoa; Chordata; Mammalia; Primates; Hominidae
Description: processed transcript
Source: RNAcentral